Pelobates cultripes (western spadefoot toad) is the source of this 209-nucleotide non-coding RNA. Lineage: Eukaryota; Metazoa; Chordata; Amphibia; Anura; Pelobatidae. The record is from the annotation of a GenBank genome assembly.
AUUGCCUCCCAGGAUGUGGUAGAAAACAAGACUUAUAUGUAUGAUGAGGUAUCUGUGGUGGUCAGAUCUAAAGACUCUAGGUUGAACCAUAAACUGACCAUCCCGGAAUUUGUCUUAGCCUUUGGUAUAUUCAGAGAUGUUAUGUGUGAAGUGUACCCUAAUAGAAGAGAGGAAUUUGAUCGUUACAUGCACAAGCUGGUGGACCUGGG